Molecule: ribosomal RNA, 426 nt
Filed under: uncultured bacterium
Lineage: Bacteria
Description: bacterial SSU rRNA
Rfam family: Bacterial small subunit ribosomal RNA
Source: RNAcentral
UCGGGAAUUUUGGGCAAUGGGCGCAAGCCUGACCCAGCAACGCCGCGUGAAGGAUGAAAUCCCUCGGGAUGUAAACUUCGCAAGAACGGGAAGAAUAAGUGCAGGCUAAUAUUCUGCAUGAUGACGGUACCGUUUGUAAGCUCCGGCUAACUUCGUGCCAGCAGCCGCGGUAAUACGAGGGGAGCAAGCGUUGUUCGGAUUUACUGGGCGUAAAGGGCGCGUAGGCGGCACUGCAAGUCACUUGUGAAAUCUCGGGGCUUAACUCCGAGCGGUCAAGUGAUACUGCAGGGCUAGAGUGCGGAAGGGGCAACUGGAAUUCUCGGUGUAGCGGUGAAAUGCGUAGAUAUCGAGAGGAACACCUGCGGCGAAGGCGGGUUGCUGGGCCGACACUGACGCUGACAGUGCGAAAGCUAGGGGAGCGAACGG